GGCCAGAAGGAUGGAGGGCAUGGGAAGGGGAGUUGAAUGACCAAUCACAGAACAGUUCUUCCAACUUCAUAAAUCAAAUCUCCCAUGUCAGCCUCCAUUCAAAUCAUUGAAAUUUGGAAUGCUGUCAAUACUUUCUUAGGGCAUGCUUCAGGCCAAACAAGCAAAACAGUUCUCUUUAGAGCAAUGUACAAUCAUUCUCUAUAUAUUUGAAGACAAGAGAACCAUCUUCAACUCAUCCAGAACUAAUAGGCCAGU
Molecule: unclassified non-coding RNA, 255 nt
Filed under: Hevea brasiliensis (rubber tree)
Lineage: Eukaryota; Viridiplantae; Streptophyta; Magnoliopsida; Malpighiales; Euphorbiaceae
Source: RNAcentral